Molecule: small nuclear RNA, 183 nt
Filed under: Neotoma lepida (desert woodrat)
Lineage: Eukaryota; Metazoa; Chordata; Mammalia; Rodentia; Cricetidae
Description: 7SK RNA
Rfam family: 7SK RNA
About the family: 7SK was discovered as an abundant small nuclear RNA in the mid-70s but a possible function has only recently been suggested. Two independent studies have found that 7SK RNA binds the CDK9/cyclin T complex (known as elongation factor P-TEFb).
Source: Rfam by way of RNAcentral
AGAUGUGGGAGCAAUGUAGCUAUGACGUCUGUCACUCUGUUCAUCACCAGGAUUGAUUCAGGGGAUCUGGCUGGCUAGAUGCAUGCCCCCUCCCUCCCUCGUACUCUAUGGGUGUCCCUCCCAGAGCUGCAAGCUGUUGCUAAUUUCCACAGAACUAUCUAGAAACAUCGUUUUCCUAAGACU